CAAAUACUCCCUCCGUCCAGAAAUACUUGUCAUCAAAAUGGAUAAAAGGAAAUGUAUCUAGACGUAUUUUAGUUUUAGAUACAUCUCUUUUUAUCCAUUUUGAUGACAAGUAUUUUUGGACGGAGGGAGUAGAAA
This is a non-coding RNA of Triticum aestivum (bread wheat), 135 nucleotides long. NCBI's taxonomy places the organism in Eukaryota, Viridiplantae, Streptophyta, Magnoliopsida, Poales, Poaceae. The record is from Rfam.